Molecule: ribosomal RNA, 674 nt
Filed under: Xerocomellus porosporus
Lineage: Eukaryota; Fungi; Basidiomycota; Agaricomycetes; Boletales; Boletaceae
Description: LSU rRNA
Rfam family: Eukaryotic large subunit ribosomal RNA
Source: RNAcentral
UCUUUGACACGGACUACCAGUGCUAUGUGAUGCGCUCUCGACGAGUCGAGUUGUUUGGGAAUGCAGCUCAAAAUGGGUGGUAAAUUCCAUCUAAAGCUAAAUACAGGCGAGAGACCGAUAGCGAACAAGUACCGUGAGGGAAAGAUGAAAAGAACUUUGGAAAGAGAGUUAAACAGUACGUGAAAUUGCUGAAAGGGAAACGCUUGAUGUCAGUCUCGUCCGCCAGGGAUCAACCUUGCAUUAUUUCRAUUGCUGGGUGCAUUUCUUGGUCGGACGGGUCAGCAUCAGUUUCGAUCGUCGUAGAAUGUACAAGGGAACGUGGCACCUCCAGGGGUGUGUUAUAGCCUUUGAUCGUAUGCGUCGGUGGGGACUGAGGAACUCGGCACGAUCCUUCGAGGGUUUGUGUCUAGGAUGCUGGCAUAAUGGCCUUAAGCGACCCGUCUUGAAACACGGACCAAGGAGUCUAACAUGCCUGCGAGUGUUUGGGUGGAAAACUCGAGCGCGCAAUGAAAGUGAAAGUCGAGAUCUCUGUCAUGGAGAGCAUCGACGCCCGGACCCGAGUCUUUGACAAAGGAUCUGCGGUAGAGCAUGCAUGUUGGGACCCGAAAGAUGGUGAACUAUGCCUGAAUAGGGUGAAGCCAGAGGAAACUCUGGUGGAGGCUCGUAGCGAUUCU